UACGUAGGGGGCAAGCGUUGUCCGGAUUCAUUGGGCGUAAAGAGCGUGUAGGCGGCCAGGUAGGUCGGUUGUGAAAACUGGAGGCUCAACCUUCAGACGUCGACCGAAACCAUCUGGCUAGAGUCCGGGAGAGGAGAGUGGAAUUCCUGGUGUAGCGGUGAAAUGCGCAGAUAUCAGGAGGAACACCAAUUGCGAAGGCAGCUCGCUGGGACGUUACUGACGCUGAGACGCGAAAGCGUGGGGAGCAAACAGG
Molecule: ribosomal RNA, 253 nt
Filed under: uncultured bacterium
Lineage: Bacteria
Description: partial 16S ribosomal RNA
Rfam family: Bacterial small subunit ribosomal RNA
Source: RNAcentral